Molecule: ribosomal RNA, 458 nt
Filed under: uncultured bacterium
Lineage: Bacteria
Description: bacterial SSU rRNA
Rfam family: Bacterial small subunit ribosomal RNA
Source: RNAcentral
UACGGAAGGCAGCAGUGGGGAAUAUUGCACAAUGGGCGAAAGCCUGAUGCAGCUAUGCCGCGUGUAUGAAGAAGGCCUUAGGGUUGUAAAGUACUUUCAUCGGGGAGGAAAAAACAAAACUAAUAAUUUUAUUUCUUGACGUUACCCGAAAAAGAAGCACCGGCUAACUCCGUGCCAGUAGCCGCGGUAAUACGGAGGGUGCUAGCGUUAAUCAGAAUUACUGGGCGUAAAGAGCACGUAGGUGGUUUUUUUAAAGUCAGAUGUGAAAUCCCUGGGCUUAACCUAGGAACUGCAUUUUGAAACUGAAAUACUAGAGUAUCGUAGAGGGAGGUAGAAUUCUAGGUGUAGCGGUGAAAUGCGUAGAUAUCUGGAGGAAUACCUGUGGCGAAAGCGGCCUCCUAAACGAAUACUGACACUGAGGGUGCGAAAGCGUGGGGAGCAAACAGGGAUUAGAUACC